AUGAUCGCCGACAUCGAGGUUUGGGCAAUGGCCAUGUUGGACGCGUGUACGCAUGUCCCUGCCAAACGCAAAAAUCCCAGCCACGCCCUGAUUAGCGACCUCCUCGACGAGUUCGCCGCGCCCCACGGCCUGUCACCGCAUUGCCGGUACGACCACGCCGUCACCCUGGUGGAAGGGGCGAUCCCCGCUAACACCAGACCCUACCACUACUUGCCGCUCCAGAAAGACGAGAUCGAGCGGCAGGCUCGCGAGAUACUGGACUCGGGCGUCAUCACGCAUAGUGUCGGCCCGUACGUCGCACGGGUCCUGCUCGUCAAGAAGAAGGGCGACACAUGGCGGUUUUGUGUCGAUUACUGCCGGCUCAAUGAUGCGACAAUCAAGAACAAAUUUCCCUUGCCGAUUGUGGAUGAACUCCUCGAUGAACUGGCGGGCGCUGCGGUCUUCUCCAAGCUCGAGACAGACGUCCAGCGCAAGGCCAUGUCCAAGCUCGCCGGCCUCCAGUUUCGCUUCCUGUACAAGUGCGGCCUCGACAACGGCGCGACAGACGCGCUCUCUGGAGUGGGCAAGCUCAUGGACGUGGCCGCGCUCUCGACCUGUCAACUGGCCUGGUGCAGGAGGUCACCAACUCAUACGAGACAGACGCCGAUCCCCAAGAGCGCCUCUAGCACUUGGCCAUCCACCGCCCUGAUGACGUGGGCGGCCACUCUGGCAUCACCGCAACGUACCACCGCGUCAAGAAACACUUUGAGUGGUGCAGCCUGA
This 762-nucleotide ribosomal RNA is filed under the name Triticum aestivum (bread wheat). Its description in RNAcentral is "partial small subunit ribosomal RNA". The record is from RNAcentral. Lineage: Eukaryota; Viridiplantae; Streptophyta; Magnoliopsida; Poales; Poaceae.